AUUGAACGCUGGCGGCAUGCCUUACACAUGCAAGUCGAACGGCAGCACGGGUGCUUGCACCUGGUGGCGAGUGGCGAACGGGUGAGUAAUACAUCGGAACAUGUCCUGUAGUGGGGGAUAGCCCGGCGAAAGCCGGAUUAAUACCGCAUACGCUCUACGGAUGAAAGCGGGGGACCUUCGGGCCUCGCGCUAUAGGGUUGGCCGAUGGCUGAUUAGCUAGUUGGUGGGGUAAAGGCCUACCAAGGCGACGAUCAGUAGCUGGUCUGAGAGGACGACCAGCCACACUGGGACUGAGACACGGCCCAGACUCCUACGGGAGGCAGCAGUGGGGAAUUUUGGACAAUGGGCGAAAGCCUGAUCCAGCAAUGCCGCGUGUGUGAAGAAGGCCUUCGGGUUGUAAAGCACUUUUGUCCGGAAAGAAAACCUUGGCCCUAAUACGGUCGGGGGAUGACGGUACCGGAAGAAUAAGCACCGGCUAACUACGUG
This 486-nucleotide ribosomal RNA is filed under the name uncultured bacterium. RNAcentral's name for it is "partial 16S ribosomal RNA". It matches the Rfam family "Bacterial small subunit ribosomal RNA", at positions 30 to 507 of the family's 1533-position model. The record is from RNAcentral.